Molecule: long non-coding RNA, 638 nt
Filed under: Androctonus crassicauda
Lineage: Eukaryota; Metazoa; Arthropoda; Arachnida; Scorpiones; Buthidae
Source: RNAcentral
AUUCUGUUUCCCUCACGAGGGGCUCUGCCGGGAGCCCCAGCUGGGGGAUUGCCUAUAGGCACUUCUUCUGCUUGUCUGUGGAAUUUGUUGCGAGGUUCAAGGUGCGAUCUGUUGCGGAGCAUGUCUGCAGGCUCUCCAUGUGGGUUUGGAUUCUGGUUUGGUUGGGGUGCAUUUUCUAAGAGGAAUUUGUGCAAGUACAGACAUGCUGAGGUGGUCUUCAGGGUCGGGUGGAGCUCGGAGUCAUGUACUGCCAUGAUUUCGUUUCCUUGCAGGGUUGCAGAGUUUGGCUUUUCUGGAGAUGUCCUGGAGGAUGGGGUGGUGUAGGGAUAUAGUUUUGUUGCUUGGCUUAUCCAGGUGGCUAGAGCGUUCUCUGUAUUGUACGUCAGUGCUCUGUAUUUUUCUAUGAUUGGCCUAAAAGUUAGGGGGAUUUUGUGUGUCUUCAGAUAGUCGAAGAGUCUGGGAGAGGCUGGAUUGGAUAUUUUCUUAACUCUUAAGAAGUCUGGGAGGUUUUUUUGUUUCAAAAUGUUGUUAACUCUUCUAUCCAGGGCUUUUCUCUGGUCUUUUGUUAGGAUUUCUGCUUUGGAGUUUUUUAUGUAAUUAUUUAGGUUGUCCUCAUAAACCUCAUUCUUAACUAUCAC